Medicago truncatula (barrel medic) is the source of this 545-nucleotide long non-coding RNA. RefSeq lists it as uncharacterized. Lineage: Eukaryota; Viridiplantae; Streptophyta; Magnoliopsida; Fabales; Fabaceae. The transcript has 2 exons. The record is from RefSeq and is a predicted model, not a curated record.
UGCUCUUUUAUAUAAAAAAUUUGGUGUUACUAUCUCUGUCUUUUUGUUUGAGUUUAGUCUCUAAUUCUGUCUUUAAUCAGUCUAGGUAGUCCCUGGGAAUGGGAUGUCUUUUUGUUUGUUGCUACAAUGGUUGAUGGAUCCUUAGAUUUUGGAGUGUUCUGUUCCGUUGUUUAGUUAUGAGUAUUGUUUUGAUUUUUUGUUUAACAAAAUUGGUUUUGCUAUUGUAUGUUGGUAUAUGCUUGUUGAUAUCAGUGUUUUUCAAAAGUGAAAAACCUCGUUGUCAACUUGUGGUGAUGAAAGCUAAGAGGAUUGAACGAUGACAUGUUUGAGGAUAUUGUUAUUGCAAAAACUAGUGGGGUUAUAGAUGUGCACUACUUAGUGCGAAAAUGAAGGCUUAUUACCAUUUUACUUCUUACGUUUACAUGCUUUAUUGGAUGUAAACUUGUAAUCGUUCUAAUAUGUAAUUGAAAUUGUGUUGCAUAGUUCAUUUCCAAUAUGAAAUCAAAUUUCAAAUAUUUGUAUGAUAACAUAUUUGGAGUUGCCAA